AGCGGCGGACGGGUGAGGAACGCGUAGGAACCUGCCUAGUAGAAUGGGACAACCGAUGGAAACGUUGGCUAAUACCGUAUGUAACUCGGAAGAGGAAAGCUGCAGAAAUGUAGCGCUACUAGAGGGGCCUGCGCCCGAUUAGCUAGUUGGUGGGGUAAAGGCCUACCAAGGCGAUGAUCGGUAACUGGUCUGAGAGGACGACCAGUCACACUGGGACUGAGACACGGCCCAGACUCCUACGGGAGGCAGCAGUGGGGAAUAUUGGACAAUGGGGGCAACCCUGAUCCAGCGAUGCCGCGUGGGUGAAGAAGGCCUUCGGGUUGUAAAGCCCUUUAGGCUGGGAAGAAGGGUGCAGGAGGAAAUGCCUGUACUUUGACGGUACCAGCAGAAUAAGCACCGGCAAACUCUGUGCCAGCAGCCGCGGUAAUACAGAGGGUGCGAGCGUUAAUCGGAGUUACUGGGCGUAAAGGGCGCGUAGGCGGAUGCAUGAGUGUGAUGUGAAAGCCCUGGGCUUAACCUGGGAAGUGCAUUGCAAACGAUGUAUCUGGAGUAGAGGAGAGGGUGGCGGAAUUUCCGGUGUAGCGGUGAAAUGCGUAGAGAUCGGAAGGAACGUCGAUGGCGAAGGCAACCACCUGGCCUCAUACUGACGCUGAAGCGCGAAAGCGUGGGUAGCGAACAGGAUUAGAUACCCUGGUAGUCC
This 700-nucleotide ribosomal RNA is filed under the name uncultured bacterium. RNAcentral's name for it is "bacterial SSU rRNA". It matches the Rfam family "Bacterial small subunit ribosomal RNA", at positions 94 to 796 of the family's 1533-position model. The record is from RNAcentral.